Molecule: ribosomal RNA, 265 nt
Filed under: uncultured archaeon
Lineage: Archaea
Description: partial 16S ribosomal RNA
Rfam family: Archaeal small subunit ribosomal RNA
Source: RNAcentral
AGUCACUGACAUUAGAUACCCGCGUAGUCCCAGCCGUAAACUAUGCGCGUUAGGUGUAUCGGUGACCACGAGUUACCGAGGUGCCGAAGGGAAACCGUGAAACGUGCCGCCUGGGAAGUACGGUCGCAAGGCUGAAACUUAAAGGAAUUGGCGGGGGAGCACCGCAACGGGAGGAGCGUGCGGUUUAAUUGGAUUCAACACCGUAAAACUCACCAGGGAAGACUGUUACAUGGAAGCCGAGAUGAAGACUCUGCUAGAUUUUCAG